GUCCACGCCGUAAACGAUGUCGACUUGGAGGUUGUGCCCUUGAGGCGUGGCUUCCGGAGCUAACGCGUUAAGUCGACCGCCUGGGGAGUACGGCCGCAAGGUUAAAACUCAAAUGAAUUGACGGGGGCCCCGCACAAGCGGUGGAGCAUGUGGUUUAAUUCGAUGCAACGCGAAGAACCUUACCUACUCUUGACAUCCACGGAACUUGGCAGAGAUGCCUUGGUGCCUUCGGGAACCGUGAGACAGGUGCUGCAUGGCUGUCGU
Molecule: ribosomal RNA, 264 nt
Filed under: uncultured bacterium
Lineage: Bacteria
Description: partial 16S ribosomal RNA
Rfam family: Bacterial small subunit ribosomal RNA
Source: RNAcentral